Molecule: long non-coding RNA, 267 nt
Organism: Cyprinodon variegatus (sheepshead minnow)
Lineage: Eukaryota; Metazoa; Chordata; Actinopteri; Cyprinodontiformes; Cyprinodontidae
Exons: 2
Source: RefSeq, a predicted model, not a curated record
CUGCAUCUGUUCAGCGUCUGCAUUGACAACAUGCGGCCUUUAAUGCUGCUGAAUGUAUUUAAUUUAUUCGUUUGUUGUUUGACUGAAGGGACCUUGCAUUCUCCUAGGAUGGUGUUUACAGCCAAAGAGUCUGAGGUUAAAAACCUUUCGUUACCUGAACAACAUUUGCCGGGUGUGAUGCUUCUGGAAGGACAGCCGGAUACUGUUGUGUCUUUUGGAAAGACUUCUGUGGUUUUAUACAAAAUGGGCAAGACUGUGACAUCGGUG